This 951-nucleotide long non-coding RNA is filed under the name Triticum aestivum (bread wheat). RNAcentral describes it as "long non-coding RNA (TAES_LNC010318)". The record is from RNAcentral. Lineage: Eukaryota; Viridiplantae; Streptophyta; Magnoliopsida; Poales; Poaceae.
AAGAUCAAUGGCGUGCCAAUCCGCAGAGUGAACCAGACUUACGUCAUUGCCACAUCCACAAAGGUCGACAUCUCUAAGGUUAAUGUGCAGAAGUUUGAUGACAAGUACUUUGCUAGGGAGAAGAAGACUAGGGCAAAGAAGACUGAGGGCGAGCUAUUUGAGUCGGAGAAGGAGGUACAUUCAUGCAUCAUUAUCCUUUUAGAUGCCUUUUACCCGUCUUGUUCCAAUACCUUAUUUUAUAUCUUCUCUGUUACCCUGCAGGCAACCAAGAAUUUGCCAGACUUCAAGAAGGAUGACCAGAAGGUCAUUGAUGCCGAGUUGAUCAAGGCUAUCGUUGCUGUCCCAGACCUUAAAAAUUAUCUUGGUGCCCGGUUCUCUCUCAGGGAUGGCGACAAGCCGCAUGAGAUGACCUUCUAAGUUACCUGGUACAAGUUUCAAGAUCUGUCGAAGUAUUUUUUGUCUAGUGUGUGUUCUGGUUCUGUACUUCUGAUUUCUUUUGCCUGGUUGGUGAAUAUUUGAUUUCCACUGCAGUCUGCCUGCCAAAUAUUUUGAGAAGAUAACUAGAAGUACCAUCCCCUUUGUUGGCUUGUUGCGACAUUUUUUUGAUCCGUCGUCGUUUUAUUCAGGCUGCAAUUCCAGUCAAUGUUUUAUCUUCUGAUCAUUGUGCAUGACGCCAUGCUUUGACUCAGGUGUUGUGGUAUGUAUUUGCAACUAGGUCAACAUUACUACGGUGGUCCUUAUUUGCAGAGCUUGGACAGUGUUGUGAUUUCGUUGGGGCAUGUCAGUAGUCUUCAACAAUCCGUUCCCCUAAAAGUGCUCCAGCAGAUCUUGUAAACGUGGGUAAUUUCUGGUUUAGGGAAAGUUGGGCCAAAAAAGAGCUCCAACAGAUCUUGUAAUCUUGGUACUAGUAUCAACAGCCACACUUAUUCUGGCAGAGUGCGUACAAUCUGA